AGCGAACGCUGGCGGCAGGCUUAACACAUGCAAGUCGAACGGAAGCACAGUAAGAGCUUGCUCUUACGGGUGGCGAGUGGCGGAAGGGUGAGGAAUACAUCGGAAUCUACUUUUUCGUGGGGGUUAACGUAGGGAAACUUACGCCAAUAUCGCAUACGCUCUACGGGUGAAAGCAGGGGAUCUUUGGACCUUGCGCGAUUGAACGAGCCGAUGUCGGAUUAGCUAGUUGGCGGGGUAAAGGCCAACCAAGGCGACGAUACGUAGCUGGACUGAGAGGAUGGUCGGCCACACUAGAACUUGGACACGGUCCAGACUCCUACGGGAGGCAGCAGUGUGGAAUAUUGGGCAAUGGGCGCAAGCCUGAUCCAGCCAUACCGCGUGGGUGAAGAAGGCCUUCGGGUUGUAAAGCCCUUUUGUUGGGAGAGAAAAGCAGCAGGUUAAUACCCCGCUGUUCUGACGGUACCCAAAGAAUAAGCACCGGCUAACUUCGUG
This 492-nucleotide ribosomal RNA is filed under the name uncultured bacterium. RNAcentral describes it as "partial 16S ribosomal RNA". It matches the Rfam family "Bacterial small subunit ribosomal RNA", at positions 29 to 507 of the family's 1533-position model. The record is from RNAcentral.